UUUCCGUAGGUGAACCUGCGGAAGGAUCAUUAUCGUGUAACCGAGGUGCGAGGGCUGUCGCUGACCCGAAAGGUCGUGCACGCCCGAGUGCCCUCACACACAUCCAUCUCACCCCUAUGUGCACCACCGCGUGGGUCCCCCUUUGGCUUGUUCGGAGGGGGGCUUACGUUUUCACACAAACUUUGUAUGCAGUGUAGAAUGUAUUUUUUGUUUUUGCGAUCACGCAAUCAAUACAACUUUCAACAACGGAUCUCUUGGCUCUC
Molecule: unclassified non-coding RNA, 263 nt
Filed under: plant metagenome
Description: partial contains small subunit ribosomal RNA, internal transcribed spacer 1, and 5.8S ribosomal RNA
Source: RNAcentral